GAUGAACGCUGGCGGCGUGCCUAAUACAUGCAGGUCGAGCGAACAGACGAGGAGCUUGCUCCUCUAACGUUAGCGGCGGACGGGUGAGUAACACGUGGAUAACCUACCUAUAAGACUGGGAUAACUUCGGGAAACCGGAGCUAAUACCGGAUAAUAUAUUGAACCGCAUGGUUCAAUAGUGAAAGACGGUUUUGCUGUCACUUAUAGAUGGAUCCGCGCCGCAUUAGCUAGUUGGUAAGGUAACGGCUUACCAAGGCAACGAUGCGUAGCCGACCUGAGAGGGUGAUCGGCCACACUGGAACUGAGACACGGUCCAGACUCCUACGGGAGGCAGCAGUAGGGAAUCUUCCGCAAUGGGCGAAAGCCUGACGGAGCAACGCCGCGUGAGUGAUGAAGGUCUUCGGAUCGUAAAACUCUGUUAUUAGGGAAGAACAAAUGUGUAAGUAACUAUGCACGUCUUGACGGUACCUAAUCAGAAAGCCACGGCUAACUACGUG
Molecule: ribosomal RNA, 497 nt
Filed under: uncultured bacterium
Lineage: Bacteria
Description: partial 16S ribosomal RNA
Rfam family: Bacterial small subunit ribosomal RNA
Source: RNAcentral